This 60-nucleotide transfer RNA is filed under the name Metacrangonyx spinicaudatus. RNAcentral describes it as "transfer RNA Glutamine". Lineage: Eukaryota; Metazoa; Arthropoda; Malacostraca; Amphipoda; Metacrangonyctidae. The record is from RNAcentral.
UUUACUUUAGUGUAUGGAGCACAUAAAAUUUUGAUUUUUAAAGUAGACUACUAAGUAAUU